AACGAACGCUGGCGGCAUGCCUAACACAUGCAAGUCGAACGAGACCUUCGGGUCUAGUGGCGCACGGGUGCGUAACGCGUGGGAACCUGCCCUUAGGUUCGGAAUAACUCCCCGAAAGGGGUGCUAAUACCGGAUAAUGUCUUCGGACCAAAGAUUUAUCGCCUUUGGAUGGGCCCGCGUUGGAUUAGCUAGUUGGUAGGGUAAAAGCCUACCAAGGCGACGAUCCAUAGCUGGUCUGAGAGGAUGAUCAGCCACACUGGGACUGAGACACGGCCCAGACUCCUACGGGAGGCAGCAGUGGGGAAUAGUGGACAGUGGGCGAAAGCCUGAUCCAGCAAGGCCGCGUGAGCGAUGAAGGCCUUAGGGUUGUAAAGCUCUUUUACCCGGGAUGAUAAUGACAGUACCGGGAGAAUAAGCUCCGGCUAACUCCGUG
This 433-nucleotide ribosomal RNA is filed under the name uncultured bacterium. Its description in RNAcentral is "partial 16S ribosomal RNA". It matches the Rfam family "Bacterial small subunit ribosomal RNA", at positions 29 to 507 of the family's 1533-position model. The record is from RNAcentral.